Molecule: ribosomal RNA, 224 nt
Filed under: uncultured bacterium
Lineage: Bacteria
Description: partial 16S ribosomal RNA
Rfam family: Bacterial small subunit ribosomal RNA
Source: RNAcentral
CCUACGGGUGGCAGCAGUGGGGAAUUCCUACGGGAGGCAGCAGUGGGGAAUAUUGGACAAUGGGCGCAAGCCUGAUCCAGCCAUGCCGCGUGAAUGAUGAAGGCCUUAGGGUUGUAAAAUUCUUUCACCGGGGACCGAUAAUGACGGUACCCGGAGAAGAAGCCCCGGCUAACUUCGUGCCAGCAGCCGCGGUAAUAAACUCUGUGCCCGCGGCCGACGGUAAU